This is a long non-coding RNA of Lolium perenne, 1757 nucleotides long. RefSeq lists it as uncharacterized. Lineage: Eukaryota; Viridiplantae; Streptophyta; Magnoliopsida; Poales; Poaceae. The record is from RefSeq and is a predicted model, not a curated record.
CGUCCGAUCUGCGAGCCAGCUCCGCGUCCAUCUGGGCCAUUCGUCGAUCUGCCCCUCGAGACAAAAUGCCCCAUACGAAACCCUAGCCGCCAGGCCCGCGUGAUCUCCCUCUCCAUUUGCUUCGCCUUCGCCUCUGCGUCCGUUCAUCUUCGACACCCUCCCUCGCGUGCGCCGCCGCAUCGGCCGCCGCCACGCCGCACUGCAUCUGGUGGCAAGCAGGAGGCGAUUGAGUUGUGGUGAGCUGCACAAACGAGGGAAGGGCGGCAGCGUCAUGCUCGACCUGCAAUCAGCCUCGAUGCAGGACGCAUCCUCCCACUCGCCGCCCUGGAUCCCAGUACCUGCCUCCUCCUCUGCUCUACCCCAAGGUCUUCUAGCCCCAAGCCCCACCGUUCCAAAGUCGCCGCCUCUGGGAGCUCUUCCUCCCUAGCUCUUGCCUCCCGGAUGACGUCACCGGUGGGAAAAGAUUGCAAGUAGCAUACACACAUGAAGCUGCUGCACCGCGUUCAUAGAUGAGGCCUGCCCAUUUUCGAGAUUUUCUGUUAUAGAGUUGUUCUUGAGGGACACAUGGCUGGUCUAGAAGAUGGACCUUCACGUAUGCCCCAUCAAUCUAUUCAUUUAGAGAGAAAAUGGCACAUGUUCAGAGAUGGAGAUUAAACUGUCCAUUUGUGCGCUGCUUAGGUUGAAACUAUUCAAGAAGAUGGAUUAGAGAGUGAUUUAUAUGAAGAUGUAUGCAAAGAAGACAAUGGUUCAUUUGUGUAUACUUGAAGUCACCUCUGCCGUUGUUGCCCGUCCCCAGCAAGCUUCAAAUAUCACAUGCUAUCCAGAUAUGAUGAGUCUUAAUAAUUAUGACCUGCGGGUCAUCUAUAUCAAUCUCUGCAUAUAUGCAAGAUAAACUUGAGUGAUCUGGAGUGAAUGGGAGAUUAGGAGGCGUGCAAUAAAGAAAUAUCUUCAGUGUCGGUUACCUAAAGGACAUUUGGAUAUUACAUUUUGCAAUAGACGAGGAAUCGGUUGCAUUAUUUAUACAUGGUGCUAAGAAGGUGACUAAAAUUUUCCUAAAUGAAGAUCUUGACUUAGUUUGUGGAAUUUAGAGAGAACAAAAUGAUCAUAUGUGCAUCUAUGGUGAUCAUUUGCUCUUCUGGUGUUCUUCUCAUUCAGUACUCGUAACUCUAGACAUGAGUGCAGAUCUGGGGAGGUCUAGAACAGGAAGAAGCUACCAUAGAAAAUUCAUUAAGAAGCUGCCAAACGUUCAUAUCAGCCUCUUGCCUUUCAUAAGAAACCAUACUCAAUUAUGUACAUGGGAGAACUACAGCAUAAUACCUAUGGUACAAUAGCACAAAUGUGCUGGAGAGGCCGGUCUUACUAUUUAGUACCAUGCACACUUUUCCCAUGGGAGCUACUAUGCAUUCGGUGUCAUAUUCCAUGCAGCCAAAGGUCUGUUCAUCAAUCUCUUGGCGUGAACACUUUAAUUGCUUUUUCGUAUCUGCCAUUAGAGUAACAUAGGUCAACGUACAGAAAUAGCAUGUGUUGUACAGCUUCAUGUGGAGAUUUCUCAUGGUGUUCUCUAUCUUGUUGUGUAUAUAAAAUGUAUAGUGUUAUACCCCUGAGGAUUCUCGUUCAUGUUGUUCCUUUGGCAUCUAUGUUGGAUUUGUGUGAAUUAUGUGUAACUUAACUCACUUCAGCUAUAUGAAAGCUCUGUUUGUAUCUUGGUGCUGAUUUAUCUUAGUGCCGAUACAAGCAGAUAUUUUUAUCUUUGCAAA